UUUUUAUACUUCCAUCUUGAUUAUAUUUGAUUUUUUUUUGGUUUGAUGUUGAUUUUAGGGUUUCACUAAAAGCUUUUUAUCGCUUAAUCAAAUUCAAGAUUCAUCAAGUGUUGAAAUUAAUGAUUACAAGUUUUUCCUUCUUUCUUCUUGAUCAUUCAUUAGUGACGAUUAAUUAUAAGCUGUCUUGAAUUAUAGCUUCUUUUUUAAAAAAAUCUAUGUCAUUGGCGAAUUCAUCGUCUGGAGUGGUCACCAAUGACAAGUGUAAGCUGAGGUUCUUGGAGUUUGAAGCGAGGAGGAGCCACCAAUUUAUCAUGGAAGCUUUAAUUUUCCAUGUUAUACGGAAUAUUUCUUAAGAAGAACCCCUGUUUCUUCAGUUUUUUUGUUAGAUGAAAAAUAACAAGACGUGGGAAUCCCGUUUUCUGGGUUACAAGAUUUUGGUUUCAAAUCUGCUGUUGCUGCUUGCAGAACUGAAGAUGAAGAGGAAGAUGGGUCAAGUAUUUGGUUUCAUCACUAAUAGGAAAAGUUUUUCUUGCCAUGUUAUGCCGGAUGUUGUUGGUUUCCUUGCUGAAAAAACUUAACAAACAGAAAUGUUGCAGCUGAGCAACAUAUGUUCUUAUGAUUGAUGGUGAUCAAUGAUGAUGCAAGACAAGGCUCAAGUGGUGGUUCUUGGGUGGCUUAUGUGAGGGGUGGUGGUUCUUAGUGACUGAAACCAUGGCUUGAGAGGGAGGGGGAUAUUUUUCAUGUUUUUCACUUUGGGGAUUGGUCACAUUAACAAAAACAAAAUCAAUAGUGGUUUGUUUCUGUUUAUUAUCCUGGUCUUAUGAUAUGUGUUGCGAGUUUAGUUGGUUAA
This is a long non-coding RNA of Populus trichocarpa (black cottonwood), 850 nucleotides long. RefSeq lists it as uncharacterized. The transcript has 3 exons. The record is from RefSeq and is a predicted model, not a curated record. NCBI's taxonomy places the organism in Eukaryota, Viridiplantae, Streptophyta, Magnoliopsida, Malpighiales, Salicaceae.